Molecule: ribosomal RNA, 545 nt
Filed under: Dendropsophus cf. decipiens CAUFJF1423
Lineage: Eukaryota; Metazoa; Chordata; Amphibia; Anura; Hylidae
Also listed under: 1 other name
Description: partial 16S ribosomal RNA
Rfam family: Bacterial large subunit ribosomal RNA
Source: RNAcentral
GCCUGCCCAGUGACCCAGUUCAACGGCCGCGGUAUCCUAACCGUGCGAAGGUAGCGUAAUCACUUGUUCUUUAAAUGAGGACUAGUAUGAAUGGCACCACGAAGGUUACGCUGUCUCCUCUUUCUAAUCAAUGAAACUAACCUCCCCGUGAAGAGGCGGGGAUAAAUAUAUAAGACGAGAAGACCCUAUGGAGCUUUAAACACACAGCAUUAGCCUCACACCUAUACACUUCAGAAAAAUAAACAUUACCCUGGCUAUAUGACUGUUAGUUUUAGGUUGGGGUGACCACGGAGUACAAAUUAACCUCCACAUUGAAUGGAAUACUCCUGAGCAAAAAGCCACGGCUUUAAGCACCAACAAAUUGACAUUAAUUGACCCAAUAUUUUGAUCAACGAACCAAGUUACCCUAGGGAUAACAGCGCAAUCCACUUCAAGAGCUCAUAUCGACAAGUGGGUUUACGACCUCGAUGUUGGAUCAGGGUGUCCCAGUGGUGCAGCCGCUACUAAAGGUUCGUUUGUUCAACGAUUAAAACCCUACGUGAUCU